Long non-coding RNA from Mangifera indica (mango), 457 nucleotides. RefSeq lists it as uncharacterized. The transcript has 2 exons. The record is from RefSeq and is a predicted model, not a curated record. Lineage: Eukaryota; Viridiplantae; Streptophyta; Magnoliopsida; Sapindales; Anacardiaceae.
GGUUCCUGAAGACAAUCCAAAUAAUGCAAAUCAAGGAAUUGUUGGUCUGGAUAUGACCUUGGUGAAUAUUUGGAAUGGUAGUGGUCAUGAGGUGUUUUCUUUAAUGAGAUAUGUGCCAACACCAAUGAUACUUUGGCCGUUGCAACAACUACAUCUACCACCACCUCCACCACCCUCCCCCACAACCAGCACUGGCAAUGGUCGCUUGAGUUCAGCUGAAAUGAAACAGUUGUCGCUAAGGAUAGCUUUGAGUUGAGUUGGACUUUGGCAUAAUAUUGUAGCACAGUUAGCUAUCUCAGUUGACAAGCAAUAGUAGCACUGGAUUUUUCUUUCAUUUUAGUUUUAGUUGUUUCAGUUCACAUUUGCAUUUGGUUGAUUCUCAUUCUGUUAGUACUCUAAACAAAUGGGAAGAAAACUUACUGACAUUGAGACAAUGGGAAAUAUCCUUUGAUGAUCA